Molecule: ribosomal RNA, 483 nt
Filed under: uncultured bacterium
Lineage: Bacteria
Description: bacterial SSU rRNA
Rfam family: Bacterial small subunit ribosomal RNA
Source: RNAcentral
GAUGAACGCUAGCGGCAGGCUUAAUACAUGCAAGUCAAGGGGGUAGCAAUGCAACCGGCGCACGGGUGAGUAACGCGUACACAACAUACCAUAUACUGGAGUAUAGCUUUGGGAAACUGAAGGUAAUCCUCCAUAACAUUGCGAGAGGGCAUCUGAUUGCAAUUAAAGUUUCGGCGGUAUAUGAUUGGUGUGCGUUUGAUUAGCUAGUUGGUAGGGUAACGGCCUACCAAGGCGACGAUCAAUAGCUGGCGUGAGAGCGCGACCAGCCACACUGGAACUGAGACACGGUCCAGACUCCUACGGGAGGCAGCAGUAGGGAAUAUUGGACAAUGGAGGAAACUCUGAUCCAGCCAUGCCGCGUGAUAGAUGAAGGCCCUCUGGGUUGUAAAUAUCUUUUUAUCUGGGAAGAAACACUCCUAUUCUUAGGGACUUGACGGUACCAGAGGAAUAAGCACCGGCUAACUCCGUGCCAGCAGCCGCGGU